AUUGAACGCUGGCGGCAUGCCUUACACAUGCAAGUCGAACGGUAACAGGUCUUCGGAUGCUGACGAGUGGCGAACGGGUGAGUAAUACAUCGGAACGUGCCCGAUCGUGGGGGAUAACGAAGCGAAAGCUUUGCUAAUACCGCAUAAGAUCUACGGAUGAAAGCAGGGGACCGCAAGGCCUUGCGCGAACGGAGCGGCCGAUGGCAGAUUAGGUAGUUGGUGGGAUAAAAGCUUACCAAGCCGACGAUCUGUAGCUGGUCUGAGAGGACGACCAGCCACACUGGGACUGAGGCACGGCCCAGACUCCUACGGGAGGCAGCAGUGGGGAAUUUUGGACAAUGGGCGAAAGCCUGAUCCAGCCAUGCCGCGUGCAGGAUGAAGGCCUUCGGGUUGUAAACUGCUUUUGUACGGAACGAAAAGACUCUGGUUAAUACCUGGGGUCCAUGACGGUACCGUAAGAAUAAGCACCGGCUAACUACGUG
Molecule: ribosomal RNA, 482 nt
Filed under: uncultured bacterium
Lineage: Bacteria
Description: partial 16S ribosomal RNA
Rfam family: Bacterial small subunit ribosomal RNA
Source: RNAcentral